CAGAGGAUGCAAGCGUUAUCCGGAAUUAUUGGGCGUAAAGUGUCUGUAGGUGGCUUUUCAAGUCCGUCGUCAAAUCCCAGGGCUCAACCCUGGACAGGCGGUGGAAACUAUCAAGCUAGAGUACGGUAGAGGCAGAGGGAAUUUCCGGUGGAGCGGUGAAAUGCGUUGAGAUCGGGAGGAACACCAAGGGCGAAAGCACUCUGCUGGGCCGUUACUGACACUCAGAGACGAAAAGCUAGGGGAGCAAAUGGGAUU
RNAcentral lists this ribosomal RNA (255 nucleotides) under uncultured bacterium. RNAcentral describes it as "partial 16S ribosomal RNA". It matches the Rfam family "Bacterial small subunit ribosomal RNA", at positions 526 to 779 of the family's 1533-position model. The record is from RNAcentral.